GCCCUCAACCACAACUACUCUUAAAUAUGGAGGAAGCUGGAGGUUGUUGCUGAAGCUAUUUGUCAAUAUUGAAGAAUUAGUUUCAUUGAGUUUGCAAAUGUUGAAAAAGAUUGAGAUUGCUGAUAUAAGGAAAGAAGUUACCUCAAGUUUAUCUUCUCUAGCUCUGUGGUUCAUCGGAAGUUGUCGGAACUCUUCAGUUAACCGGAGGCAUUCCUUUAUAUUUUCAGGAGAGACGAAAUCUACAGCAACCUUAGUACAAGACUGCAUGGAUAAAACAUAAGCAAUUCAAACAUUGUUCAACAAUACAAUAAAGAUAUUCACCAAUUUCUUGGAGGUCUACUAUCUGAAAAUUAAUAAAUAUAAAUUGAAAUAUUGGUGAAAUAUUU
Populus euphratica (Euphrates poplar) is the source of this 386-nucleotide long non-coding RNA. RefSeq lists it as uncharacterized. The record is from RefSeq and is a predicted model, not a curated record. The transcript has 2 exons. NCBI's taxonomy places the organism in Eukaryota, Viridiplantae, Streptophyta, Magnoliopsida, Malpighiales, Salicaceae.